This 495-nucleotide ribosomal RNA is filed under the name uncultured bacterium. RNAcentral's name for it is "partial 16S ribosomal RNA". It matches the Rfam family "Bacterial small subunit ribosomal RNA", at positions 28 to 507 of the family's 1533-position model. The record is from RNAcentral.
GACGAACGCUGGCGGCGUGCCUAAUACAUGCAAGUAGAACGCUGAAGGAGGAGCUUGCUUCUCUGGAUGAGUUGCGAACGGGUGAGUAACGCGUAGGUAACCUGCCUUGUAGCGGGGGAUAACUAUUGGAAACGAUAGCUAAUACCGCAUAAGAGUAGAUGUUGCAUGACAUUUACUUAAAAGUUGCAAUUGCAUCACUACCAGAUGGACCUGCGUUGUAUUAGCUAGUUGGUGAGGUAACGGCUCACCAAGGCAACGAUACAUAGCCGACCUGAGAGGGUGAUCGGCCAAACUGGGAAUGAGACACGGCCCAGAGUCCUAAGGGAGGCAGCAGUAGGGAAACUUCGGAAAUGGACGGAAGGCUGACCGAGCAACGCCGCGUGAGUGAAGAAGGGUUUCGGAUCGUAAAGCUCUGUUGUAAGAGAAGAACGAGUGUGAGAGUGGAAAGUUCACACUGUGACGGUAUCUUACCAGAAAGGGACGGCUAACUACGUG